This 1431-nucleotide ribosomal RNA is filed under the name uncultured organism. RNAcentral's name for it is "SSU rRNA". It matches the Rfam family "Bacterial small subunit ribosomal RNA". The record is from RNAcentral.
UUAACACAUGCAAGUCGAGGGGCAGCAUUUUAUUUUGCUUGCAAACUGAAGAUGGCGACCGGCGCACGGGUGAGUAACACGUAUCCAACCUGCCGAUAACUCCGGAAUAGCCUUUCGAAAGAAAGAUUAAUACCGGAUAGCAUACGAAUAUCGCAUGAUAUUUUUAUUAAAGAAUUUCGGUUAUCGAUGGGGAUGCGUUCCAUUAGUUUGUUGGCGGGGUAACGGCCCACCAAGACUACGAUGGAUAGGGGUUCUGAGAGGAAGGUCCCCCACAUUGGAACUGAGACACGGUCCAAACUCCUACGGGAGGCAGCAGUGAGGAAUAUUGGUCAAUGGGCGAGAGCCUGAACCAGCCAAGUAGCGUGAAGGAUGAAGGCUCUAUGGGUCGUAAACUUCUUUUAUAUGGGAAUAAAGUUUUCCACGUGUGGAAUUUUGUAUGUACCAUAUGAAUAAGGAUCGGCUAACUCCGUGCCAGCAGCCGCGGUAAUACGGAGGAUCCGAGCGUUAUCCGGAUUUAUUGGGUUUAAAGGGAGCGUAGGUGGAUUGUUAAGUCAGUUGUGAAAGUUUGCGGCUCAACCGUAAAAUUGCAGUUGAAACUGGCAGUCUUGAGUACAGUAGAGGUGGGCGGAAUUCGUGGUGUAGCGGUGAAAUGCUUAGAAAUCACGAAGAACUCCGAUUGCGAAGGCAGCUCACUAGACUGUCACUGACACUGAUGCUCGAAAGUGUGGGUAUCAAACAGGAUUAGAUACCCUGGUAGUCCACACAGUAAACGAUGAAUACUCGCUGUUUGCGAUAUACAGUAAGCGGCCAAGCGAAAGCAUUAAGUAUUCCACCUGGGGAGUACGCCGGCAACGGUGAAACUCAAAGGAAUUGACGGGGGCCCGCACAAGCGGAGGAACAUGUGGUUUAAUUCGAUGAUACGCGAGGAACCUUACCCGGGCUUAAAUUGCAACAGAAUAUAUUGGAAACAGUAUAGCCGUAAGGCUGUUGUGAAGGUGCUGCAUGGUUGUCGUCAGCUCGUGCCGUGAGGUGUCGGCUUAAGUGCCAUAACGAGCGCAACCCUUAUCUUUAGUUACUAACAGGUCAUGCUGAGGACUCUAGAGAGACUGCCGUCGUAAGAUGUGAGGAAGGUGGGGAUGACGUCAAAUCAGCACGGCCCUUACGUCCGGGGCUACACACGUGUUACAAUGGGGGGUACAGAAGGCGGCUACCUGGUGACAGGAUGCUAAUCCCAAAAACCUCUCUCAGUUCGGAUCGAAGUCUGCAACCCGACUUCGUGAAGCUGGAUUCGCUAGUAAUCGCGCAUCAGCCAUGGCGCGGUGAAUACGUUCCCGGGCCUUGUACACACCGCCCGUCAAGCCAUGAAAGCCGGGGGUACCUGAAGUACGUAACCGCAAGGAGCGUCCUAGGGUAAAACUGGUAAUUGGGGCU